GCAAGUCUGGUGCCAGCAGCCGCGGUAAUUCCAGCUCCAAUAGCGUAUAUUAAAGUUGUUGCAGUUAAAAAGCUCGUAGUUGAACCUUGGGUCUGGCUGGCCGGUCCGCCUCACCGCGUGUACUGGUCCGGCCGGACCUUUCCUUCUGGGGAAUCGCAUGCCCUUCACUGGGUGUGUCGAGGAUCCAGGACUUUUACUUUGAAAAAAUUAGAGUGUUCAAAGCAGGCCUAUGCUCGAAUACAUUAGCAUGGAAUAAUAGAAUAGGACGUGUGGUUCUAUUUUGUUGGUUUCUAGGACCGCCGUAAUGAUUAAUAGGGAUAGUCGGGGGCAUCAAUAUUCAAUUGUCAGAGGUGAAAUUCUUGGAUUUAUUGAAGACUAACUACUGCGAAAGCAUUUGCCAA
Molecule: ribosomal RNA, 401 nt
Filed under: uncultured fungus
Lineage: Eukaryota; Fungi
Description: SSU rRNA
Rfam family: Eukaryotic small subunit ribosomal RNA
Source: RNAcentral